RNAcentral lists this ribosomal RNA (253 nucleotides) under uncultured bacterium. RNAcentral's name for it is "partial 16S ribosomal RNA". It matches the Rfam family "Bacterial small subunit ribosomal RNA", at positions 524 to 776 of the family's 1533-position model. The record is from RNAcentral.
UACGUAGGGGGCAAGCGUUGUCCGGAUUUACUGGGCGUAAAGCGCGCGUAGGCGGAACUUCAAGUCCGGUCUGAAAGCCCCCGGCUCAACCGGGGAGGGUGGCUGGAAACUGGGGUUCUUGAGGGCGAGAGAGGAGGGUGGAAUUCCUGGUGUAGCGGUGAAAUGCGUAGAGAUCAGGAGGAACACCAAUAGCGAAGGCAGCUCGCUGGGACGUUACUGACACUGAGGCGCGAAAGCGUGGGGAGCGAACAGG